This 447-nucleotide ribosomal RNA is filed under the name uncultured bacterium. RNAcentral describes it as "partial 16S ribosomal RNA". It matches the Rfam family "Bacterial small subunit ribosomal RNA", at positions 29 to 523 of the family's 1533-position model. The record is from RNAcentral.
AGCGAACGCUGGCGGCAGGCUUAACACAUGCAAGUCGAACGCCCCGCAAGGGGAGUGGCAGACGGGUGAGUAACACGUGGGAACGUACCCUUUGGUUCGGAAUAACUUGGGGAAACUCAAGCUAAUACCGGAUAAGCCCUUAUGGGGAAAGGUUUACUGCCGAAGGAUCGGCCCGCGUCUGAUUAGCUAGUUGGUGAGGUAAUGGCUCACCAAGGCGACGAUCAGUAGCUGGGCUGAGAGGAUGAUCAGCCACACUGGGACUGAGACACGGCCCAGACUCCUACGGGGGGCAGCAGUGGAGAAUAUUGGACAAUGGGGGCAACCCUGAUCCAGCCAUGCCGCGUGAGUGAUGAAGGCCUUAGGGUUGUAAAGCUCUUUUACCCGGGACGAUAAUGACUGUACCGGGAGAAUAAGCCCCGGCUAACUUCGUGCCAGCCGCCGCCGUAA